UAGCAUAUCAAUAAGCGGAGGAAAAGAAACCAACAGGGAUUGCCCCAGUAACGGCGAGUGAAGCGGCAACAGCUCAAAUUUGAAAUCUGGUCCUUGUGGCCCGAGUUGUAAUUUGUAGAGGAUGCUUUUGGUGCGGUGCCUUCCGAGUUCCCUGGAACGGGACGCCAUAGAGGGUGAGAGCCCCGUCUGGUUGGAUACCAAGCCUCUGUAAAGCUCCUUCGACGAGUCGAGUAGUUUGGGAAUGCUGCUCUAAAUGGGAGGUAUAUGUCUUCUAAAGCUAAAUAUUGGCCAGAGACCGAUAGCGCACAAGUAGAGUGAUCGAAAGAUGAAAAGCACUUUGAAAAGAGGGUUAAAUAGUACGUGAAAUUGUUGAAAGGGAAGCGUUUGUGACCAGACUUGGGCCCGGUUAAUCAUCCAGCGUUCUCGCUGGUGCACUUGGCCGGCCCAGGCCAGCAUCAGCUUUCGGCGGGGGAAAAAGGCGGCGGGAAUGUAGCUCCUCGGAGUGUUAUAGACCGCCGCAUAAUACCCUGCUGGGGGCUGAGGUUCGCGCAUCUGCAAGGAUGCUGGCGUAAUGGUCAUCAACGACCCGUCUUGAAACACGGACCAAGGAGUCGUCUUCGUAUGCGAGUGUUCGGGUGUCAAACCCCUACGCGUAAUGAAAGUGAACGCAGGUGAGAGCUUCGGCGCAUCAUCGACCGAUCUUGAUGUUCUCGGAUGGAUUUGAGUAAGAGCAUACGGGGCCGGACCCGAAAGAAGGUGAACUAUGCCUGUAUAGGGUGAAGCCAGAGGAAACUCUGGUGGAGGCUCGCAGCGGUUCUGACGUGCAAAUCGAUCGUCAAAUAUGGGCAUGGGGGGCGAAAGACUAAUUGAACCUUCUAGUAGCUGGUUUCCCCA
This 894-nucleotide ribosomal RNA is filed under the name Allantonectria miltina. Its description in RNAcentral is "LSU rRNA". It matches the Rfam family "Eukaryotic large subunit ribosomal RNA", at positions 36 to 962 of the family's 3401-position model. Lineage: Eukaryota; Fungi; Ascomycota; Sordariomycetes; Hypocreales; Nectriaceae. The record is from RNAcentral.